CUGUUCUACAUGUGUCGUUGUUCAAGUGGCUGAGACCAAUCCGGCUUGCCUGUGGCUCGGAUUUCACUAUAAGAUCUGGACUGAUCACCUUGUGAAGCUCAGCAGACUCGAUUGCCUGUUGAAGCCACCAGGGAUCCUCCCUCUCCAUCUGCUUCACUUUGCGAUCUAAAGGGCUCAGUUGAAGAUGUCUGACACUGAAGAAGUGUAAGU
This is a long non-coding RNA of Stegostoma tigrinum, 210 nucleotides long. RefSeq lists it as uncharacterized. NCBI's taxonomy places the organism in Eukaryota, Metazoa, Chordata, Chondrichthyes, Orectolobiformes, Stegostomatidae. The transcript has 3 exons. The record is from RefSeq and is a predicted model, not a curated record.